GACGAACGCUGGCGGCGUGCUUAACACAUGCAAGUCGAACGGAAAGGCCCUGCUUUUGUGGGGUGCUCGAGUGGCGAACGGGUGAGUAACACGUGAGUAACCUGCCCUUGACUUUGGGAUAACUUCAGGAAACUGGGGCUAAUACCGGAUAGGAGCUCCUGCUGCAUGGUGGGGGUUGGAAAGUUUCGGCGGUUGGGGAUGGACUCGCGGCUUAUCAGCUUGUUGGUGGGGUAGUGGCUUACCAAGGCUUUGACGGGUAGCCGGCCUGAGAGGGUGACCGGCGACAUUGGGACUGAGAUACGGCCCAGACUGCUACGGGAGGCAGCAGUGGGGAAUAUUGCACAAUGGGCGGAAGCCUGAUGCAGCAACGCCGCGUGCGGGAUGACGGCCUUCGGGUUGUAAACCGCUUUCGCCUGUGACGAAGCGUGAGUGACGGUAAUGGGUAAAGAAGCACCGGCUAACUACGUG
RNAcentral lists this ribosomal RNA (468 nucleotides) under uncultured bacterium. Its description in RNAcentral is "partial 16S ribosomal RNA". It matches the Rfam family "Bacterial small subunit ribosomal RNA", at positions 28 to 507 of the family's 1533-position model. The record is from RNAcentral.